GUAUUUUGAAUUAAGUAUUCAUAAUAUUUUUCAGACAAAGAGUUAAAAGAUAAAGGUUGAUGUUUGGUCGAUCUCCAAGAAGAAGAUCGACUGACAUUGCACACAAGGUGGAUAUGGAUUUAAAAAGUGCCAUAAAACACUUAUUAUGAAUGAUCCUUCCGCAGGUUCACCUACGGAAA
RNAcentral lists this unclassified non-coding RNA (179 nucleotides) under uncultured fungus. RNAcentral's name for it is "sequence contains ITS1, 5.8S rRNA gene". Lineage: Eukaryota; Fungi. The record is from RNAcentral.